This 724-nucleotide ribosomal RNA is filed under the name uncultured bacterium. RNAcentral's name for it is "bacterial SSU rRNA". It matches the Rfam family "Bacterial small subunit ribosomal RNA", at positions 47 to 760 of the family's 1533-position model. The record is from RNAcentral.
CCUAACACAUGCAAGUCGAACGGUAACAGGAAACAGCUUGCUGUUUCGCUGACGAGUGGCGGACGGGUGAGUAAUGUCUGGGAAACUGCCUGAUGGAGGGGGAUAACUACUGGAAACGGUAGCUAAUACCGCAUAACGUCGCAAGACCAAAGAGGGGGACCUUCGGGCCUCUUGCCAUCAGAUGUGCCCAGAUGGGAUUAGCUAGUAGGUGGGGUAACGGCUCACCUAGGCGACGAUCCCUAGCUGGUCUGAGAGGAUGACCAGCCACACUGGAACUGAGACACGGUCCAGACUCCUACGGGAGGCAGCAGUGGGGAAUAUUGCACAAUGGGCGCAAGCCUGAUGCAGCCAUGCCGCGUGUAUGAAGAAGGCCUUCGGGUUGUAAAGUACUUUCAGCGGGGAGGAAGGGAGUAAAGUUAAUACCUUUGCUCAUUGACGUUACCCGCAGAAGAAGCACCGGCUAACUCCGUGCCAGCAGCCGCGGUAAUACGGAGGGUGCAAGCGUUAAUCGGAAUUACUGGGCGUAAAGCGCACGCAGGCGGUUUGUUAAGUCAGAUGUGAAAUCCCCGGGCUCAACCUGGGAACUGCAUCUGAUACUGGCAAGCUUGAGUCUCGUAGAGGGGGGUAGAAUUCCAGGUGUAGCGGUGAAAUGCGUAGAGAUCUGGAGGAAUACCGGUGGCGAAGGCGGCCCCCUGGACGAAGACUGACGCUCAGGUGCGAAAGC